GACGAACGCUGGCGGCGUGCUUAACACAUGCAAGUCGAACGGAAAGGCCCUGCUUUUGUGGGGUGCUCGAGUGGCGAACGGGUGAGUAACACGUGAGUAACCUUCCCUUGACUUUGGGAUAACUUCAGGAAACUGGGGCUAAUACCGGAUAGGAGCUCCUGCUGCAUGGUGGGGGUUGGAAAGUUUCGGCGGUUGGGGAUGGACUCGCGGCUUAUCAGCUUGUUGGUGGGGUAGUGGCUUACCAAGGCUUUGACGGGUAGCCGGCAUGAGAGGGUGACCGGCCACAUUGGGACUGAGAUACGGCCCAGACUCCUACGGGAGGCAGCAGUGGGGAAUAUUGCACAAUGGGCGGAAGCCUGAUGCAGCAACGCCGCGUGCGGGAUGACGGCCUUCGGGUUGUAAACCGCUUUCGCCUGUGACGAAGCGUGAGUGACGGUAAUGGGUAAAGAAGCAACGGCUAACUACGUG
Molecule: ribosomal RNA, 468 nt
Filed under: uncultured bacterium
Lineage: Bacteria
Description: partial 16S ribosomal RNA
Rfam family: Bacterial small subunit ribosomal RNA
Source: RNAcentral